GCGCCCGUAGCUCAGUUAGGACAGAGCAACGGACUUCUAAUCCGUGGGCCGCAGGUUCGAAUCCUGCCGGGCGCGCCA
This 78-nucleotide transfer RNA is filed under the name Clostridia bacterium. RNAcentral describes it as "tRNA-Arg". It matches the Rfam family "tRNA". From Rfam's summary of the family: Transfer RNA (tRNA) molecules are approximately 80 nucleotides in length. Their secondary structure includes four short double-helical elements and three loops (D, anti-codon, and T loops). Lineage: Bacteria; Bacillati; Bacillota; Clostridia. The record is from RNAcentral.